UUUCAGAUCUUGCAUCUUGCAGUGAAUUCUAGUAUGCUGCGUCAUUGCAUGUAGAAUGACUAAAGAUUUGACAAUUCACAUAGAUACAUGUAGUAUCAAUGAAUACGUUGUAUAAUUUUAUACUUGGAAGAAAGAAUUCUUCGACACUUUAUGUGACUGGCAAUGCUGCGGACGAACCAGCUAGUGAUGAAGUCGUCGAUGAAAAUGGUUUUGUGAUGGUCAACUCUGGAGACAGACAGCAAGAAAGAUGUAUACAGGUAUAUUUAAUAUCACUGUUCUUUUUUUCACAAUAAAUGCGCAUUAUAAAUUGUGAAUAUUGCCACUACAACACUGGACACACAGUGGUUGCUUAAUUUCUGGUGGCGACAUUCGUGUGAUGACACGUAUGUGAUGUUCAGAACUGAACAUCCGUCCAGCAUUAACUGUGGUCCAGUAAAUCCGUCCAGCAUUAACUGUGGUCCAGUAAAUAUCCAACUAAUGGAUGAAAUUGAAAAUCAACAUGCGAUUACAACAAUAGGAGAUGUUUUUAAAUGAUGUCAAACGCUGAAAAAUGCUUAAUGCGAUGCCCAAAGGAACUUUUUUUAACGACAAUUUGCAAUGCAAUUUGCAAAAGAUGUUUUUAUUAAAUAAAUUGGUUUUCCGCAUUUGACGGCAUUAUAAGGGAUGGCCGGGUCAUAAAGUAUUUACUAGGGGGUGUGGAGGAUAUUUUUUGGGGGUACAAAAAAAAACCCAGAACAUCUGAGGGAGGUGUGAAAAAACUAUAGAACCUCUAGGGGAGUACCAAAAUCUUAGUACUAUAGGUACGGAAAAAAAAUUACAUUUUAUAAUUGUUGAAAUUGAAUGUAUUUGUGCCGAGAUUUUUAAAGUCUGGAAAGAAUUGUUGUACUAUAAUUCUGAUUAAAUCAACACAAAGUAUAUAUGUUUCAGUCUGACUCAAUGUUAGAUGAUAAUGCACCUAUCAUCGUCUUGCCCAAGGGGGGUAACCCCGGGACAAGGUCGGGUAAAUGUGGGGAUAUACUGGGGGAUUGUAACAUAACUUUCCCCCCAGGAGUGGGGUAAUUUUCAAACAUUUAAAAACUACAGCUCCCAGGGGUCAGGAAAUUGCAAACCAUUUAAGCCGAUGAAUACCGCUGACCAUGAAUCUUAAACGCAAAUUAGCAGCCAUUUUGAAACGUCACUGUUGCCAUAGCAAUGAUAGUUACACACUUUUUUGUUACAAUCUUUGAUUCUCCAAAUCCUGCUAUAUACAAGUCUGUUAGUUUCAUGUUUCUAACUAAUAAUCAAUGUACAAGAUUUCGGCUCUAAAACGAGUGUUUUACACUUUUCAAGAAAUUGUAUGGAGCCUCCUUAAAUUAAAGUUACAAAAUUCAACAAGACGGUUUUAUUGGGUAAUUGUUUCAAUUUUUUAUCAGUUCAAUGGCAAUAUAUUAAACUGGUACUUUGCUGACUGAUGUUCAAAUACGUUUUCUAAUGUUGCUGUUGCUACUAAACUUUAGUACUGAAAUUUAAAUCUGCCCCACAAGCGUGUAAACGUACUCUCUGAAAAAGUAUGCAAGAUAUAUAAUCCAUAACAAGUCAUCGAUAGGCAUGUCCCGGGGAAUAUAAAUUUCCACACACCCUGGGUCCCGGGAAAAUGUCCAACUUUGUUCCAGGUAGAUUUUGCAUUUCCCGAGGUUCGCCCGGGGUUACCCCCCUCGGGCAAGACGAUGAACGGUGCAUAAGUAGGAUUCAGCAUCCAUGGAACUUUUGGAGUACAAAUCUGAUACAUCUGAAUUGUCAAUGCUAGCAAGCUUGUACCGUGAGAACCUGAUGAGGAAGUGUCACAUUGAAUGGAAGCAAAUUUUUUUUCAGUUUGAAAUAAGUAAAACCAAAAACAAAUUUUUCUGUUUGUUCUUACACUCAGCCUAUCCGCUAGUAUGUCAGAAUCAGAAAAGAUUGGUGACAAAUCGAAAGUGGAAAAUGUUGAGGAUGUGAUUACCACUACAAGAAGUGGGGGAGCAGGGCCACCGAGAGGGGGGGCAGGGGGGGGGGGGAAUUGCCCCGGGCCCUGAGUUUCUGGGGGCCCCUGAAAAAUUUUUGUUGGGCCCCAGUCUUUCUUGUGUGUUAAAUAUUUCCACGUAAAGGACAAGAUAUCUGUUUUCUUGGGCUAAGUACCGAAUUUUGGCAUAAAAAAAUGAGAUAAAGUCCCUCGAAAGCAAUUGCAACGUACUCGUCCUGAAAAUUAAAUGUUUCGAGGGAAAUAGUUUGUUUUGUUUUCCGGACAGUCUCGUUAUUUCCCAAGACGAAGUCAAGGGAAACAUUGAGACUCGAGGGAAAACAAAACUAACUAUUUCCCAAGGGAACAGACAUUAAGCGUUUUGUUAUAUAUCAUACAACAAUUGUAUUUUGUGACAAAAACCCUAUAGUGUAAACAAGUUAAAAAUUAAAAGAACCUACUUAAACGGUUUCAGCAUGCAGC
Molecule: non-coding RNA, 2458 nt
Organism: Paramuricea clavata
Lineage: Eukaryota; Metazoa; Cnidaria; Anthozoa; Malacalcyonacea; Plexauridae
Source: the annotation of a GenBank genome assembly